GACGAACGCUGGCGGCGUGCUUAACACAUGCAAGUCAAGGGGGCCCGCAAGGGUAACCGGCGAACGGGUGCGUAACACGUGAGCGACCUGCCGAUCUGCGGGGGAUAGCCGGCCCAACGGCCGGGUAAUACCGCAUACGCUUGGUUUGGGGCAUCCCUUUCCAAGGAAACUUCCGGGGCGGAUCGAGGGGCUCGCGGCCUAUCAGCUAGUUGGCGGGGUAACGGCCCACCAAGGCGGUGACGGGUAGCUGGUCUGAGAGGAUGGCCAGCCACAUUGGGACUGAGAAACGGCCCAGACUCCUACGGGAGGCAGCAGUGGGGAAUAUUGCGCAAUGGCCGCAAGGCUGACGCAGCGACGCCGCGUGUGGGAGGACGCCUUUCGGGGUGUAAACCACUGUUGCCCGGGACGAACAACGAGUUUCGACUCGUCUGACGGUACCGGGUGAGGAAGCACCGGCUAACUCCGUGCCAGCAGCCGCGGUAAUACGGAGGGUGCGAGCGUUGUCCGGAAUCACUGGGCGUAAAGGGCGCGUAGGCGGUGCGGUAAGCGUGCGGUGAAAGCCCGGGGCUCAACCCCGGGUCGGCCGUGCGAACUGCUGGACUGGAGCAUGUCAGAGGCGGGUGGAAUUCCGGGUGUAGCGGUGGAAUGCGUAGAGAUCCGGAAGAACACCGGUGGCGAAGGCGGCCCGCUGGACAUAGCUGACGCUGAGGCGCGACAGCGUGGGGAGCAAACAGGAUUAGAUACCCUGGUAGUCCACGCCGUAAACGAUGGGUACUAGGUGCUUGGGGGAGCGACCCCCUGGGUGCCGGCGCUAACGCAUUAAGUAC
RNAcentral lists this ribosomal RNA (827 nucleotides) under uncultured bacterium. Its description in RNAcentral is "bacterial SSU rRNA". It matches the Rfam family "Bacterial small subunit ribosomal RNA", at positions 28 to 867 of the family's 1533-position model. The record is from RNAcentral.